Molecule: long non-coding RNA, 397 nt
Organism: Populus euphratica (Euphrates poplar)
Lineage: Eukaryota; Viridiplantae; Streptophyta; Magnoliopsida; Malpighiales; Salicaceae
Exons: 3
Source: RefSeq, a predicted model, not a curated record
GGCCCCUUCAGAUCCUGGUUUCAAGUUGUCGGUCACAGCUGAUGUUGAAAGCUUGGCAUGGGAUCCGCACGAUAAGCAUUUAUUUGUGAUGGUACAGUUCAAGGUUUUGACAUCCGUGCUGCCAAGUCUGAAUCAGGUUCUGAUCUGAAGCCAAGUUUUACUCCGUGCACGCGACAAAGCUGUUUGCAAGACCUCUUAUAAUCCUUCAGCACCUAAUCUUCUUGCUGCUGGAUCAAUAGAUAAAAUGGUGAAGUCAUUUGUUCCUUUUUUGGUCCUUCCUGUAAAGCAGAGGUUAACAAUGGUUCUUAUAGUUCCAUUCUCUGUCGAAUAUUUCUGCAUGUAAAACUCUGGGAUUUGUCCAACAACCAACCCGCAUGUGUAAAAUCCAAGAAUCCUA